GUAGGUGGCAAGCGUUGUCCGGAAUUAUCGGGCGUAAAGCGCGCGCAGGUGGUUCUUUAAGUCUGAUGUGAAAGCCCCCGGCUCAACCGGGGAGGGUCAUUGGAAACUGGGGAACUUGAGUGCAGGAGAGGAAAGUGGAAUUCCACGUGUAGCGGUGAAAUGCGUAGAUAUGUGGAGGAACACCAGUGGCGAAGGCGACUUUCUGGCCUGUAACUGACACUGAGGCGCGAAAGCGUGGGGAGCAAACAGGGAUUAGAUACCCUGGUAGUCCACGCCGUAAACGAUGAGUGCUAAGUGUUGGGGGGGUUUCCCGCCCCUCAGUGCUGCAGCUAACGCAUUAAGCACUCCGCCUGGGGAGUACGGUCGCAAGACUG
RNAcentral lists this ribosomal RNA (374 nucleotides) under uncultured organism. Its description in RNAcentral is "partial 16S ribosomal RNA". It matches the Rfam family "Bacterial small subunit ribosomal RNA", at positions 527 to 896 of the family's 1533-position model. The record is from RNAcentral.